RNAcentral lists this ribosomal RNA (490 nucleotides) under Leptodactylus spixi. RNAcentral describes it as "partial small subunit ribosomal RNA". It matches the Rfam family "Bacterial small subunit ribosomal RNA", at positions 794 to 1522 of the family's 1533-position model. The record is from RNAcentral. Lineage: Eukaryota; Metazoa; Chordata; Amphibia; Anura; Leptodactylidae.
GCCUGGCCGUAAACUUUAAUUUACACCACCAUCGCCCGGGAACUACGAGCUAAGCUUAAAACCCAAAGGACUUGACGGUACCCCAAAUCCACCUAGAGGAGCCUGUCCUAUAAUCGAUAACCCCCGUUGAACCUCACCAUUUCUUGUUUAUCAGCCUGUAUACCUCCGUCGCCAGCUUACCGCGUGAGCGCCAUUAAGUGAGCUUAAUGCCCGUACGCCAACACGUCAGGUCAAGGUGCAGCUAAUGAAAUGGGAAGAGAUGGGCUACACUUUCUACUAUAGAAGAAACGAAAGACUACCUAUGAAACCUAGUCAGAAGGAGGAUUUAGUAGUAAAAAGAAAACAUAGUGUUCUUUUUAAUCCGGCACUGGGGUGUGUACACACCGCCCGUCACCCUCUUCAAGGCCCAAUUAAAGUUUAUAACUAAGCUUUGCCACAUAGAAGAGGCAAGUCGUAACAUGGUAAGUAUACCGGAAGGUGUGCUUGGAAA